GUGGGUAUAGCUCAGUGGUAGAGCACAUGCUUAGCAUGCAUGAGGUCCUGGGUUCAAUCCCGAGUACCGCCA
RNAcentral lists this transfer RNA (72 nucleotides) under Camelus bactrianus (Bactrian camel). It matches the Rfam family "tRNA". From Rfam's summary of the family: Transfer RNA (tRNA) molecules are approximately 80 nucleotides in length. Their secondary structure includes four short double-helical elements and three loops (D, anti-codon, and T loops). RNAcentral also lists the same sequence under 2 other names. Lineage: Eukaryota; Metazoa; Chordata; Mammalia; Artiodactyla; Camelidae. The record is from Rfam by way of RNAcentral.